CCCCCCCCCACCUUUUCAAUUUAUUCCAGGUCUAGGGCUGGGUGCUGCAUCUACGCACUUUAAGUAGAAAUUAACGGAAGCUGUUCAAGUAUUCCUGAACUAUAUGGAUAUAACUUUUGAAUGUUAAUUAACUGUUUUUUUUGUUGUUGUUGUUGUUCAAUUACUAAAAUAGUUAUAUAGGAAAGGUAAGAGAUGUGCCUUAGAUCUGUCUCUUUGCCUUUGAUAUUCGUGUUUUCUGGCUUGAAUACAAAAGUACAAAACUUAAGAUUAUCUUUUGGGAUCAAAGGCAUUAUGGAGGCAUGGCAUUAAAUGGAGCUGGAGAGGAAGGAGGGAACCUAAUACACCAAUAAACUUACAGGGAAGGUAGAUUUUUGCAGCUGUAGGGAGAUGCAGUACUUGAGAGGAAAUGAGUAAGAUCUAAAUUAUAGUUUGAGCUCUGGAGCUAGGAACGUAACAUAAGAUUUCAGCAAUGUUGUGUAGUUCAGAAUUGCAAGAUUUCAAGGGCAAGGAAGGGGGGAAAUGGCUCAAAAGAAAGGAGGGAGUUCAGUUUACUUUCUCUUAUGAAUUGACAGCUACAGCAUAUCUACAGCAGAAUCCAGUGUCUCUAGAAAGCCCUCAAGGAAAUGGUAGAGAUCUUGUUCAAAGAAAUUUUGUACUGCAGGAAGUGAAGUGACCUCUGUAAAGAAAACUAAACCAAUGUUGGUAUACUGAGUCUGAAAAGAUGAGGAUGAGGUAAACUUGCAUUUUGAUUUUUAUAUGAAACAAGCAGAAUUGAGGUUCCUCAGCACAAGAGUAAAUCUUGUUAAGUUCUGUGGUGGUGGUGGGGGGAAAGGCCUAAGUAAGUUUUAGCUUGGCCGCUGUACCUAUCCAGAACUGCUGUUGUCUUGACUGAGUUAGUUAGGUUUUAUCCUCUAGUUUAAGGCUUCCUCGGUGGAGCCAAGCAUUCCCAAUGUGGUUUGAAUGUGCCAAAUGCACACACACAGGAUGGAGAUCAUUAGUAAGAGCCACUUUUAUUCAAAAACAGGGCAGGAGGAGGAAGAGGCAUCAUGCUUCCUUUUGCAUGAUGCUCCCUCAGAGACCUGAUGUGGAAUGCACUACACCAGUUUUAAGCACCAAACCUGUGCCUGUAGCUUAGAUGCCCAGCAAACUAGGCUGCCUAAAGUGCCCGAAUUCCCUGUGUGGUUGAUGGGAGAAGUGAUUUGGAAGGCCUCCGAGGAAGAGCUGCUUGUUCCCUGAGGCAGCCAGCAGGGCACCCCAGCCUUUGGGGGAGCCAGGGCUCCCUUAAAAGCUGCUGGAGAGAAGUGGGGGAAGGUGGGCUCUGGUGCUGGGUGCUCAAGUCAAACCUAAAUGCACGGAAGGGGGAAGACAGUUGCAGAUAGCGUGGUAAGAAAAGACAGAAUAGGGUGUCAGGUAAAUUUCCUGCAGAUUAAUUGAGCUCGUGCUUGCUGCAUACUGAUACAAAGGGAUGUGGAUUAAAAAGUCUCUUUUCUGAGGCUAUUCAUCUCUUGGGGUGGGAAGAGGAGAGCUGGUUUACUCUGGAUUGGUGAUGCUGAGAACACCUCCUGGGUUGAAACAUGAGCCUCCCUCCCUCCUCAGGAGGUAAAUUUCCUGGAUGUUUAAUGACUGCUGAAUACUCCCACCUGUGUCCCCAGCUGGAUGGCACGAAUGGCAGUGCAAAUCAACUUGCAUCCAUUUGAACCAUGGUUUCUGUGCCAUUUACUCAUGUUCUUUCCUUUUGCUUGCUGAGCAUAUAAUACUAUCAAUCAUGUAGAAACAAGAAAACAUGGUGCGGAAUGAUUAAGCCUUGGCUAUCUAAUGUGAACAAACAACAUGCAAGACUUAACUAGAUAAAGAUGGACUUCAGGGUUUUUUUUUUUACCUCAGUGUUUUAUAAAGUCCUGUAUUUGUUUCAGUGGGAAUUUUGAGGAAAUUGUGAAGUUAGGCUCAAAGUACUGGGUAUCUUAUACUAAUGCUGCUAAUACAUUUCCAUUUCUCUUUCUUGUUUUCUGUCCCUUUGUUAAUUUUUCAGUUAUAGGGGCCUGCAAUAAGGUGCCAUUGGUCUUCUCUUGCAGACAGAAGCUGUUGCCCUGGAUGCACCAUUUCUUCUCCCCUCUGCCUGAGGAGAAGCACCGGUGGUAGGGCUGGCUGAUUUUUUUUUGAACUACCACUCCACAGGGUGAGAAGGCACGUAGCCAGCUUGUGUACCUGGCAGACUUAAAUCAUCCAAUGAAGCAAAGUUAUAAAAAGAUGUGUAAGGCUGGAGGAAGAUGGGAAAAAGAAAGCUGAGCUGUUGCUAAUGGGAGGGUAGGAGACUCUUCUAACUCUUGGAGAAGAGAAGACAGGAGAAAUCCCAAGCUGCUAGCACUGAUCUACAGCUGGAAGUUGAAGAUAGUGGAAGAUACACAGGCAAUGUUCGAAAAUUGUCUGUGCCGUAAAGCUGCGAAAUGGUGGAGCAGAAGGGGAAGGAAGCCAGGUGGGAAGCUGCACAAGGCAGAAGUCUCUGAUGCUGGCUGAAGAAGACUCUGCUGACAAGCUGGAGGUUCCCUGUUCACUGGCUUCCUUCAUGGGGCUUCUGUUGGAGUUGAGACUGGGGUGUGUGCCUGCGCAGGAGUUGCCACCGUUGACUGCAACAGCAAGCUUUGCAACACACUUCACGAGGCCGUCCUCUUGAAAAGCAUUUCCUCUGUGGUUCCAGAGAGUUUCUUUUGUACAAUUUACCUGAUUUUUACUUUCUGUUCUCUUUAACUUAUCCUUCCGGAGUUCAUUUCUGUGUUCUUGAAUUUCACUAUUCUGUUUGAAUUUGAAUUUAUUGCUGUCUUGCUCAUCUUGUUUGUAGCUGUUCACUUCGUGAGUGUAUCCAGGUGAUUGUACUUCUUCUGGAUCAAAAAUAUAGCUGGUGUAGGGAAAAUUUAUAAAGGAAAUGUUAAUUAUGCUGUUAAUUAGAAUAUGAAAAAGGAUUAUGCUUAACUUAAGCCGACGGUCUUGAGGAACUCAUGCCACUAAGCUUUACCUGUGAUGUGAAUGCCAUGAUGAACUGUGCUGUAGCCUGCAGUCUCCUGCGGGAGACAGUAACUAACUCCUGGAGUGAGAUUCACCAGGAGCACAGAAAGAUGUCAGCUGGUUGUUCCAUGUUUCCAGCUUUAUUUUUUAUUUCCUCUUGAGGGUAGAUUAGCCAACGAGUAGUCAUCAUACAGACCGUUUAUUUAAUAUGUCCUCAUGUAACUGCCAAAAUCUAUCCCCCCCCCCAUUCUUCCUCUCAAGUCUUGUCUCUUUGUCCUUUUCUCUUUGUAUUUUUGUCUUCUCCUCUUUCCUUUCUCUUUACUGUUUUUCUCACCCUCCUAAUUUUUCCUCAAGUUAUUUCUUUCAAAGCCUCUCUUUCUUCUUUCUUUCUUCUCUUUCAUAUCAUCAGCUUUCUUUCCUGCUUCCUUACCCGUUUUAGAGAUGUGGUCAGGAGCGAUCAUCAAGUGGGGCUGAAGUGUUGUCUUUCUAGAACUGGCAAACUUCUACUGAGAGAGACUUUUGAUAUGGGAGUUGUUCUCACAAUUAACUACGUUUAAAAGCUAUGGAAGCAAGGAUCUGUAGCUCAUUUUCAGUGUUUAGGGGAGAGGAAGGAUCUGACAAAGUCUGUUCUUCUCACUCUACUAACUGAGAAAAAACUUUGGUGAAGAUGAAUUUUGAAUGCCACACAACUUUUCUGUGGGUUAGGAAAUACAGAAAUGAACCUUGAUUACAAUAAAUCAAAAGGAUGUUCAUAGGAAGUCAGAAUACCUGUGCUCUGACAUGACUUUAUAAAAACUGUAAAUUUUGUGUUAAUUCCAAGCUGGUAAAUAGUCUUAAUUUAAGCAACAAAUAUAGAGGAGCACAGACAUAUGUUUUAGUGCUUUUCUUUUUUUCAGUCUAAGCAUUUUUUGUUCUGUUGUACCUUUGUAUCAUUUUGCAGCACCUGCACCCCAUCUGGAUUUUCUUUAAUCUGAAAAGAGAGAGAGGGAAAGCAAGGGAGAGGGGAAAUGAGUGAAGUAUUAUGAAAUUAAUGCAUGGGCAAUUGCAUUGAAAAUGAUGCUUAUGUUUAGAAGGGUUUUAUUGGUUAAAAAGAAAUGCCUACACAAGAGUGAUCUAGUGCAGUACAGUUCAAGGCCUUUCUAGGUUCCUAUAUUGCAUUAACAAUAGCCUUUAGGUGACAUCUGGGGAAGAAGUUAACAUCUUAAGCAUGUAGUGGUGUUCUCCCACAGUAUUUUCCUAGCCUCCAGCAGCUUCGUGGCUUGGAGCAUCGUAAUUCAGGGAGUAGUGUUUCUGUAUUUGGUAUCCAUUGACUUCUCUUCCAUGAAUUUGUCCACGUGUUUUCUGAACUCAGUUAAACUGUUAGUAUCCACAACAUCCUGUAGUGAGGAGUUUCAUAGCUCAGCUUUGCACUACUUGAAGAACCACCUGCUUUUGUUUGAUAUGAUCCUGUUUCCUACUAGCAGUAUUUGAUGUCUUCUAGUUUUUGUAUUAAAAGGAGACAAGUGAGCAUUUCUUCCUAUUGUCACUCUGUUACAGGUCCUGUACUCCCCCUUUAGUUAUGUUUUUCAGCCUGAAGAAUCCUAGCUUUCUUAAAUGUUACCCAUCUGUCAUGGCUUUAGAUGGUCCUUGUCAUCCUCGUCUGGAUCUUACCGACUUCUAUGCCCUUCUUAAAUGAGGGGUGGGAACUGCAAAUGCAGUAUUUUCAAGAUUUGGGGAACCAUAGACUUAUUCUUUCCUAAUAACUCCUGCCCCAGUUCUGUUGGCUCUGCGACAGCUAACUGUGGUGACAUUGCUCGUAGGGCUAUCCCUUAUUCCUCUGGUUAGAUGCAGACAUAUUGCUGGGAUUGGUACUUUAUUAUGCUCAGUGCAAGUGUUGCACCUGUAUUUUACUAGAGUAAAUUCUUCUAAGUUUGACCAGAGCUGUCAAAACGCUGCGUUUUACUACAUGUCUGUAUACUGCAAGGUUUCUGUGUACGUGCAUCAUUGCCUGAUUUAGUGAGAUGCUAAGCACCACCUGUUAUGUGGUUCAUAACAAUGAAGUCUUUUAGUAUGAGCAGAAAUAGUUUGUUAAUAUGGGCCCUUGAGAACCUUUAUUUUCUGAACCUAAAGUGAAGAGACAGAUCUGAACCUCCCAAAUCCUUGAACAAAACAUUCUUAAUUCUGUGGGUUGGGGCUAUCUUGGCUUGUGUUAAUGGAGCCAGGAUGCAUUGUAAAUCUCUUUUUACCUGUUGUUAUUCAGGCCUCUCUAUUUCUCAAUAUGCUCUACCACUUCACAUACUUUUGCUGCUGCCUAGGGACAGCAGCUCCCUUCACAGUAAGGCGGAAAUUGAUGGUGCAAGGUCAGGGUAUUUACUAGAGUGAUUUAUUCAUGAAACACCAAAGGAAAAUAGUAUUGAUUUAUUCUUACCAGGUGUGGCCUGCACUGUGUGCCACUUGUGCUAGCAGAAAUUGCAAUCAAAGCUCUGUGUGGUACAGGCUUAUUAUCUCACUUUUUUUCUCUAAAUCUGACUUCCUCUGGUGUCAGCACUGAACAUAAUGCCUGAUGUCAGGUCCCUUCAGUUGCAGAGCCUCUAAGGGGCUUGGAGCCAUUCAGCAGCUGGCUUUAGCUAGGAUAUAGCUGCUUAUAGCUGUACUCUUUGUCCUUGUCUUCACCUGAAGUGCUCUGGAGCAGAAACUUCUCUAAAGAGUGGCCAGCUGCUGUAGCUUGACGCCUGUCAGGAAGGCCUGUAAGCCGACUGCUUUGCUUCCUCUCUGUCUGGUGAUUCUUCUCUCCCUCCUUGAAAUGCAUUCUCCCUUCUACACCUCCGCUUUUUUUUCCUUUUAACCUAGAAAAUGUGAUAGCACAAAUUGCCAUACAGAAUUUUUCUUCUGAAGACUAUGCGGUAAUAACUGGUUGAAGUGGCCACAUGUGCUGGCUUUUCUUCUGUGCAGUUGCUCUGCCAUAUAAAGAAAUUUGGAUAGGUUUGGCUAGACAUGAGGCUUAUUUGAGCUCCUCAUGUAGUCAUCAUUGCCAGACAAAGAGGAACUUGUAAUAUAACUUUGUUUUGAUCUUUUUGAAGGCUGAAUUAGCUAUAGCCCUUCUUUAGAUUAAGACUGAUUUGAAGCAAAUUCAGUUGAGCUAAGUCCUAUGUGGACACUGUUUUGGUUUAACUGGCAUCUUUAGUUUUAUCAUAAACUUGCUUCUAAACUGGAAAAAAACAAGCUGCUUUAAAUUGACCAGUGGGUUAAUUGAUUCAAGUUACCAUAUGUCAGGCAAGCCACAAUAACUGUUUGUGGUCUCAGUUCAUGGGAAAGGCAACAGAAUUUGAUUUAGGUUCAGUCUCCUUCAAGGGCCUAGCUAAGCUCCAAUAAUUCUUGCUUGCCAUAGGCUAGGAGUAUGCAAAUAUUUUUUCCAGCUCUACUAUAUAAUGAUAACUUCAAUUGCCAUCAGUUGCCUUGUGAGCCCACUGAAAUGUCCACAAAGCCUCUGUCUUGGCUUUAAAAGUUAUAGUUUUGGUGAAACCACUCUAGGUUUGUACGUAGACCAGUUUUGAGAACAGAUGCUGUUUCUAGCUGGGUGUAGUUACUUCAGGUCAGACGGUUUCUGUUUAAUCUUUUCUUUGACAAAUUUCAUACUGAGUGCUGAUAUCCAUGCUUCAUAACAUUUUUUAAUUAAAAAAAAUCUUGCUCAUAGGUUUUAACCAUUGGGAAGUGCUGAUUGCUUGCUCUCUUCUAUUUGGUUGUAAAGAGGUUUGUGAUCUUUGUAGAAAGUAGUUAUAAAUGGGAAUUACUGUUGUUAUUUUCAUAAGGAGCACUUUCCUGUAUGUUUCUUUUUUCUUUUUGUAUUUACUCUCUGAAUUGUCUCUGUGGCUACUGUAUUAAGCUUUUUAGCUGAUUAGUUACAAUUGAAUUUGUCCUCUGGCAUGAAUAAACUUAUGGAAAAUA
Long non-coding RNA from Dromaius novaehollandiae (emu), 6924 nucleotides. RefSeq lists it as uncharacterized. The record is from RefSeq and is a predicted model, not a curated record. NCBI's taxonomy places the organism in Eukaryota, Metazoa, Chordata, Aves, Casuariiformes, Dromaiidae. The transcript is spliced from 3 exons.